GGUCUUAUAUUCAAUUAUGAUUUCAAAUUGCAAAUUUGAAGGUUUAGAAGUUUCUUUAAGACUU
RNAcentral lists this transfer RNA (64 nucleotides) under Bostrichoidea sp. 3 KM-2017. Its description in RNAcentral is "tRNA-Cys". The record is from RNAcentral. Lineage: Eukaryota; Metazoa; Arthropoda; Insecta; Coleoptera.